CUUUACAGUUAUUAUGUAUAUACACAUUGUAUAUUUCCCCAGAAUUUGUAUCUCCUAGGCAUGUCCCGGCUUGUUCACCUCCCUGCUCCCCUGUUUCUCUGCUGUUUGGACGGAGAAGCUGCAGAGAGGAGACAGCCCCCAUUCGCCCUUUCCUUCCCUGGCCCCUCUUGUGCUCCUCCCCCUUUUGUCCGUGUCCCUAUCCUGGUUUGUCCCCCCGCUUGUCUGUCUCAUGCUCUGCCCCAUCUUCUGGCCCUUUCCCCUCCUGAAGUGAUAAAAAACUGCGUGUGGGUUGGAAUAGGGGAUUUUACCUGCACCCUACCUUGUGUUCCGGACCCGUGCUGUGCCACGGCCCCAUCCCCUCUUCGGACUGUGGCAAGUGGGCAUGAGAUACAGUUUCUUUCUGAUGGAGAAAAAAAAUUUAAAAAAUCCUGGGCAACUGCAGUCCCAUUCACAGCUAACUAAAAGCAAUUGAAGGAACUGAGAAGGUUGCAGGGAGAAGAUGUGAGCAACCUAUCUCUCUCCCUGGUAUGCAGAGAGACAACAUGUUUGCAGACAUGUACAAGGCCUCCUUGGGCCAGAGGGCAGGGGGGAGAGAGAAGACACAAAAAGCCUUGGAGAAGGCGGGGCAUUGCCUUUUUUCCCUGGGGCCCAGUGUGUGCAGCAUUGUUAAGUGGUCCUUGAAUCUGAAAUAAACCUUGUUUUAAUCCUUCCACUGCCUUGGCAUUCUUGGGAAGAUAUCUGUGCAUGUUUUACCUGACAGAUCUUAACAAUGUUUAAGCAAAAAACAAUUCAGUCUCUCACAGACUCUUGUAAGAAGCAUCUUGGUAGGGUACAACCCAUUACCAUCUGGGUCCAACCAUCAAAAUAUAUUUUUGCUCAUCUAACUGCUCACUCAUGCACUAUAAUAUCCCAAUUUGUCCAUAGUAAUAUUGCAGGAUAAUGUAUUGGAAACAUUGUUAAGUCAAGAUAUUGGAUAUGCUCUCCUCUCUCCUCACUUACAUAUCUAUUUUAUCAUAGAAUGCGAUCAAGUUGGUCAGGCACAAUAUACCUUUAGUAAAUCCAUGUUUUCUGUUCCGUGUCACUUCCACUUCCUUGGCUUCCAGGAUACUCAUUGUGAUUUUUCCAGGGAUGAAAGUACAACUGAUUAGCCUGUGGUCCAUACUGACCUUUUUGCCUCUUUCGAAGUUGACUAUGGCAUCUACUUUGUUCUAUUUGUAAGAAAUAUCUUCCAAUCUCCAUAGUUUUUCAAAGAUGAUGGAGAGUGGUCUUGCAAGUCUGUCAGGUCCCCAUGACUUGAUCUUCAUUCACUGCUGCUUUCUUUCUUCCUUGAACCCUGCCUUUAAGUACAAAUUUCAGACAAUUGUUCUUAUAUUGUUAAUUCUAAAUUAAUUUUUUUCUACAGAA
This is a long non-coding RNA of Pseudopipra pipra, 1404 nucleotides long. RefSeq lists it as uncharacterized. The record is from RefSeq and is a predicted model, not a curated record. Lineage: Eukaryota; Metazoa; Chordata; Aves; Passeriformes; Pipridae. The transcript has 3 exons.